This is a long non-coding RNA of Mauremys mutica (yellowpond turtle), 207 nucleotides long. RefSeq lists it as uncharacterized. The transcript is spliced from 3 exons. The record is from RefSeq and is a predicted model, not a curated record. Lineage: Eukaryota; Metazoa; Chordata; Testudines; Geoemydidae.
GGUGGUGGCUUUUUUCCCGUCGCCGCCGCUGCUGUGUCUAUUGCUUGGUACCCCAAGGCUCUAAGUUCUUCUCAGUAAAAGUCUGUUGACCAGACCUGUGGUUGCCUGUACAACGACCUUGGAUCGGCCAACUCUGGCACAUCAAAUCCACAUCUCUCCCCGGAGCUACGCCGGUUCCAAGGCUGCAUCUCUGCACUGGACGAGUGA